Molecule: long non-coding RNA, 595 nt
Filed under: Rattus norvegicus (Norway rat)
Lineage: Eukaryota; Metazoa; Chordata; Mammalia; Rodentia; Muridae
Description: long non-coding RNA NONRATT014642
Source: RNAcentral
GAGACAGGGUUUCUCUGUAUACUCCUAGCUAUCCUGAAACUCAAUCAAUAGAGGCUGGCCUUGAAUUCAGAUUCUUCUGCCCUGAUUCCCCAGUGCUGGGCUUGAAGCGUAUCUUCCGAGUCUGUGCCAGCCAAGCUUCCGUCCAGGACCCGCACUGCACAGCCCAGGCACCACCAAGACCCCUACAAGGCCGGACUGAGCCACUAUGUGAAGCUCUUCAGUUUCCAUACUAAGAUGCCCGUGGAGAAAGCGGCUCUUGAGAUGGUAGAGAAGUGACGAGUAUUUCCAGCGCCUUUGCAAUGAUCUGGAGGUAUUUGCUGCUCAUGCCGGCCGUAAGACUGUGAAGCCAAAGGACUUAGAGCUGCUGAUGCGACGACAGGGACUAGUCACUGAUCAAGUCUCGCUGCAUGUGCUUGUGGAGCGGUACCUGCCCUUGGAGUACCGGCAACAACUUAUCCCCUGUGCAUUCAGAGGCAAUUCUGUCUUUCCUGCACAGUAGGACCAGGCCUUAGCUGGCACCUACUCUCCCUACCUUGGGCAUCUAAACAAUUGUCAAGGUUCCUCAUCUCCUAGCACCAAUAAACUCUCACAAAUG